GACGAACGCUGGCGGCGGGCUUAACACAUGCAAGUCGAACGGAAAGGCCCUGCGUUUGUUGGGUGCUAGAGUGGCGAACGGGUGAGUAACACGUGAGUAACCUGCCCUCGACAGUGGGAUAACUUCAGGAAACGGGGGCUAAUACCGGAUAGGAGCUCCUGCUGGAUGGUGGGGGUGGGAAAGUUUCGGCGGUUGGGGAUGGACUCGCUGCUUGUCUGGUUGGUUGUGGGGGAGUGGCUUACCAAGGCCUUGACGGGUAGCCGGCCUGAGGGGGUGAGCGGCCAUAUUGGGCCUACGAUACCGCCCAGAAUCCUACGGGAGGCAGCGGUGGGGAAUAUUGCACAAUGGGCGGAAGCCUGAUGCCGCAACGCCGCGUGCGGGAUGACGGCCUUCGGUUUGUAAACCGCUUUCGCCUGUGACGACGCGUGAGUGACGGUAAUGGGUAAAGAAGCAACGGCUAACUACGUG
This 468-nucleotide ribosomal RNA is filed under the name uncultured bacterium. RNAcentral describes it as "partial 16S ribosomal RNA". It matches the Rfam family "Bacterial small subunit ribosomal RNA", at positions 28 to 507 of the family's 1533-position model. The record is from RNAcentral.